RNAcentral lists this ribosomal RNA (433 nucleotides) under uncultured bacterium. RNAcentral describes it as "partial 16S ribosomal RNA". It matches the Rfam family "Bacterial small subunit ribosomal RNA", at positions 29 to 507 of the family's 1533-position model. The record is from RNAcentral.
AGCGAACGCUGGCGGCAGGCCUAACACAUGCAAGUCGAACGAACUCUUCGGAGUUAGUGGCGGACGGGUGAGUAACACGUGGGAACGUGCCUUUUGGUUCGGAAUAACUCAGGGAAACUUGUGCUAAUACCGCAUGUGCCCUUCGGGGGUAAGAUUUAUCGCCAUUAGAGCGGCCCGCGUCUGAUUAGCUGGUUGGUGAGGUAACGGCUCACCAAGGCGAGGAUCAGUAGCUGGUCUGAGAGGAUGACCAGCCACACUGGGACUGAGACACGGCCCAGACUCCUACGGGAGGCAGCAGUGGGGAAUCUUGCGCAAGGGGCGAAAGUCUGACGCAGCCAUGCCGGGUGAAUGAUGAAGGGCUUAGGAUUGUAAAAUUCUUUCACCGGGGACGAUAAUGACGGUACCCGGAGAAGAAGCCCCGGCUAACUUCGUG